Molecule: ribosomal RNA, 223 nt
Filed under: uncultured Eubacteriales bacterium
Lineage: Bacteria; Bacillati; Bacillota; Clostridia; Eubacteriales
Description: uncultured Clostridiales bacterium partial 16S ribosomal RNA
Rfam family: Bacterial small subunit ribosomal RNA
Source: RNAcentral
UAACGCGUGAGUAACCUGCCUUACACAAGGGGAUAGCCUUUGGAAACGAAGAAUAAUACCCUAUAAAACCAUAAAAGCACAUGCAAUUAUGGUCAAAGUGAUAGCGGUGUAAGAUGGACUUGCGUCUGAUUAGCUAGUUGGUGAGAUAAAAGCUCACCAAGGCAACGAUCAGUAGCUGGCUUGAGAGAGUGUACGGCCACAUUGGGACUGAGACACGGCCCAG